Non-coding RNA from Vicia faba (fava bean), 216 nucleotides. NCBI's taxonomy places the organism in Eukaryota, Viridiplantae, Streptophyta, Magnoliopsida, Fabales, Fabaceae. The record is from the annotation of a GenBank genome assembly.
AUGAGCAUCCUCCUCCUCCACCUCCCUGUCACCAUUGCUGCUGUUGCACCUAGUACAUUUUCAUGGGUUGAAGAAGCUGAACAACACAACAACUAUGGGAGAACUGUCCUAUCCAAGUCAAGCACAAGAUAUUUUUGGGUUCCGGUUCAGACAGAGAGAUCAUCAACAACAGGUCAAUUUGGAUAUGUCUAUUUCGCUGGAUAUGUCCAUGUUUGA